CCUACGGGGGGCAGCAGUGGGGAAUAUUGGACAAUGGGGGGAACCCUGAUCCAGCCAUGCCGCGUGUGUGAAGAAGGCCCUCGGGUUGUAAAGCACUUUCAGUGAGGAAGAACGCCUGGUGGUUAAUACCCAUCAGGAAAGACAUCACUCACAGAAGAAGCACCGGCUAACUCCGUGCCAGCAGCCGCGGUAAUACGGAGGGUGCGAGCGUUAAUCGGAAUUACUGGGCGUAAAGCGCGCGUAGGUGGCUUGAUAAGCCGGUUGUGAAAGCCCCGGGCUCAACCUGGGAACGGCAUCCGGAACUGUCAAGCUAGAGUGCAGGAGAGGAAGGUAGAAUUCCCGGUGUAGCGGUGAAAUGCGUAGAGAUCGGGAGGAAUACCAGUGGCGAAGGCGGCCUUCUGGACUGACACUGACACUGAGGUGCGAAAGCGUGGGUAGCACACAGGAUUAGAUACCCGAGUAGUC
This 465-nucleotide ribosomal RNA is filed under the name Vreelandella stevensii. RNAcentral describes it as "partial 16S ribosomal RNA". It matches the Rfam family "Bacterial small subunit ribosomal RNA", at positions 338 to 795 of the family's 1533-position model. Lineage: Bacteria; Pseudomonadati; Pseudomonadota; Gammaproteobacteria; Oceanospirillales; Halomonadaceae. The record is from RNAcentral.